RNAcentral lists this ribosomal RNA (477 nucleotides) under uncultured bacterium. Its description in RNAcentral is "bacterial SSU rRNA". It matches the Rfam family "Bacterial small subunit ribosomal RNA", at positions 28 to 486 of the family's 1533-position model. The record is from RNAcentral.
GAUGAACGCUGGCGGCGUGCCUAAUACAUGCAAGUCGAACGCGCAGCGAAAGGUGCUUGCACCUUUCAAGCGAGUGGCGAACGGGUGAGUAACACGUGGAUAACCUGCCUCAAGGCUGGGGAUAACAUUUGGAAACAGAUGCUAAUACCGAAUAAAACUUAGUAUCGCAUGAUACAAAGUUGAAAGGCGCUACGGCGUCACCUAGAGAUGGGUCCGCGGUGCAUUAGUUAGUUGGUGGGUAAAGGCUACCAAGACAAUGAUGCAUAGCCGAGUUGAGAGACUGAUCGGCCACAUUGGGACUGAGACACGGGCCCAAACUCCUACGGGAGGCUGCAGUAGGGAAUCUUCCACAAUGGGCGAAAGCCUGAUGGAGCAACGCCGCGUGUGUGAUGAAGGCUUUAAGGGUCGUAAAGCACUGUUGUAUGGGAAGAAAUGCUAGAAUAGGGAAUGAUUCUAGUUCGACGGUACCAGUACCAG